This 429-nucleotide ribosomal RNA is filed under the name uncultured bacterium. RNAcentral describes it as "bacterial SSU rRNA". It matches the Rfam family "Bacterial small subunit ribosomal RNA", at positions 372 to 793 of the family's 1533-position model. The record is from RNAcentral.
UGGGCGCAAGCCUGAUGCAGCCAUGCCGCGUGUAUGAAGAAGGCCUUCGGGUUGUAAAGUACUUUCAGCAGUGAGGAAGGUGGGUAUGUUAAUAGCAUAUUCAUUUGACGUUAGCUGCAGAAGAAGCACCGGCUAACUCCGUGCCAGCAGCCGCGGUAAUACGGAGGGUGCGAGCGUUAAUCGGAAUUACUGGGCGUAAAGCGCAUGCAGGUGGUUUGUUAAGUCAGAUGUGAAAGCCCGGGGCUCAACCUCGGAAUUGCAUUUGAAACUGGCAAACUAGAGUACUGUAGAGGGGGGUAGAAUUUCAGGUGUAGCGGUGAAAUGCGUAGAGAUCUGAAGGAAUACCGGUGGCGAAGGCGGCCCCCUGGACAGAUACUGACACUCAGAUGCGAAAGCGUGGGGAGCAAACAGGAUUAGAUACCCCGGUAG